Molecule: ribosomal RNA, 253 nt
Filed under: uncultured bacterium
Lineage: Bacteria
Description: partial 16S ribosomal RNA
Rfam family: Bacterial small subunit ribosomal RNA
Source: RNAcentral
UACGAGGGGGGCAAAUGUUGUUCGGAAUCACUGGGCGUAAAGGGAGCGUAGGCGGGUUCUUAAGUUAGGUGUGUAAUCCCGGGGCCCAACCCCGGACCGGCACUUAAAACUGGGAAUCUUGAAUAGUGGAGAGGUCGGUGGAAUUGGAGGUGUAGCGGUGGAAUGCGUAGAGAUCUCCAAGAACACCAGUUGCGAAGGCGGCCGACUGGACACAUAUUGACGCUGAGGAGCGAAAGCGUGGGGAGCGAACAGG